Molecule: ribosomal RNA, 431 nt
Filed under: uncultured bacterium
Lineage: Bacteria
Description: bacterial SSU rRNA
Rfam family: Bacterial small subunit ribosomal RNA
Source: RNAcentral
CCUACGGGAGGCUGCAGUAGGGAAUCUUCCACAAUGGGCGAAAGCCUGAUGGAGCAACGCCGCGUGAGCGAAGAAGGUCUUCGGAUCGUAAAGCUCUGUUGUAAGGGAAGAACAAGUGCAGUAGUAACUGGCUGCACCUUGACGGUACCUUACUAGAAAGCCACGGCUAACUACGUGCCAGCAGCCGCGGUAAUACGUAGGUGGCAAGCGUUGUCCGGAAUUAUUGGGCGUAAAGCGCGCGCAGGCGGUCUCUUAAGUCUGAUGUGAAAGCCCCCGGCUUAACCGGGGAGGGUCAUUGGAAACUGGGAGACUUGAGUGCAGGAGAGGGAAGCGGAAUUCCAUGUGUAGCGGUGAAAUGCGUAGAGAUAUGGAGGAACACCAGUGGCGAAGGCGGCUUCCUGGCCUGUAACUGACGCUGAGGCGCGAAAGCG